RNAcentral lists this long non-coding RNA (1445 nucleotides) under Physcomitrium patens. Its description in RNAcentral is "long non-coding RNA (PPAT_LNC003477)". The record is from RNAcentral. Lineage: Eukaryota; Viridiplantae; Streptophyta; Bryopsida; Funariales; Funariaceae.
AGCAUAAAAGAUAGAGCUCGUCUUCAAAGUUUCAUCGGUCACCCUCUUUGUAAUUUUUCUAGUUGAAGGCCUUUCUCUAGUUGUAGGGAGAUUUAAUCACUCCCUUCACCUCUUGUAUCAUUUCUUUUAUCCUUGUAAACUUUUAGUUGAUGUCUUUUUUCUAGUGGUAGGGAGAUUUAAUCACUUUCUUCACCCCUCGUAUUCUUUUUAUUCACACAAAGUAGUAUACAAGAAACUUAACAAGAAUCUCAAGAGAAUUCUUCAUCAAAAAAAGAAAAAAAUACAAGUAGAAAAAUUAGCUAUAAAGAAUUAAAAAAAAAAAAAAAAAAAAAAAAAAAAAAAAAAAAAAUGUAAUUGUUGUUUUACUUACUCUAAACUAUCUAAUUGGAAUAAACCUACAUAAAAAGAUUCGAACAUGAAGAAAGACUAUCCGCAUGAAUUUUCACAUUAAGAUCACACAAUUAAUUGUCUCUUAAUCAACAAAAAUAUCUAAAAAAGCUAUAAUGCCUUUCACAUUCUAUUAAAUAAAAUAUUACAAUUGAUAAUUCUAUCUUAUGUAUAGACUGUCUCUUCUCAUCUCCAAACUUAUGAUAAUAAUAAGUAAUAUUGUACUAUCUUAAAAGGAUGUAUAAAAUUCUAUAAUCCAAUCAUUGAAUUUUUUCUAAAUUAAUUGUCAUUCUCAAUAAUCUGCUUCACUUAAUUCCAGACUCAACAGACUUCUUCUUAUGGCAUACUCUCAACUUUCAAAAAUCAAUAUAUUAUAAUUCUCCCACUCAUAUCCAUACUUCACAAAUAUCUUCCAUUAUCAACUUUGUAAUUUUUCACUUAUAAUUUAGUAUACAAUAAAUUUAAUUUUUUAUUUGACAUCAUAUAAAUCAAAUUUUUUUUUCAUUACAAAAUUUUACUUCAAAUUAUUCAAAUUCUAUCUAUUACCUUUUUUCUAUAAAGAAAAUAAAAAAAAAAAGUAGCACCAAGCUAAUCCCAACUUAUGACUAAUACAGUUUGGCCUUUCCCACUUUUUUUUCAUCUAAUUUAUACUUAUUUCAAAAUAGAGAUUCCAACCAAUAAUUCUUAUUUAAUUACUUUUUUUAACUAAAUCAUCCAUCCUACCUCCUAAAUUGACUAUCUUAUGGAUGAUUAAUCAAUUUUAUCAAUAUCUAACCAAUGUCCUAUAACAACCAAUUUCUAUCCAUUCUACAUAGCCUUGCUUCUAACUGUAUAGCAUCCUCACAAACACAAUAUUAAUAAAAAAAAAACUUCUUCAACAAAAUCCUUACAAUUUUUUUAUCCUCUGGCUUGCUAGAUUGAUCAAUCUUAACAUUUUUUAUAGAUAGUUCUAUAGUUUCUGGUUCUAAUGAUAAGUCCUCAUCCUCCUCUAAUUCUUCCAUUGGCUCUUUUCUCAAUUGGGCUGAUAAGUCUUCAUUAUACGCUCCCUAUUCACAAAC